GUGAAACAUAUAGAGGAAUACUGCAAGUCAUGUCCAGAGUGCCAGCUGACCCAACCUAAGACAGGCCCUGGAGCAGGCCUGGUACCAAUGCUGUUGGUAGAUAGACCUUUCGAUCGGAUUGCUAUGGACAUCGUAGGCCCCUUGGCUAAAUCGGAAGGGGGACACCAGUAUAUACUGGUGAUCAUUGACUAUGCAACACGAUACCCCAAGGCCAUUCCAUUGAGGUCGACCACAGCGAAAGUGCUGGCAAAGGAACUUUUGGGGGGUCUUCUCAAGAGUGGAGUUCCUGAGAGAGGUGUUAACAGACCAGGGGUCCAAUUUUAUUAGUUCGACCUUUAAACAAAUGUGGGAUAUGUUAGGGGUCAAGCCCCUUAGAACCUCAAUCUAUCAUCCUCAAGCUAACGGCUUGGUGGAGAGGUUUAACCGCACCUUGAAAGGAAUGCUAAGGAAGGUGGCGUUAGAGCAUCCCAAAAAAUGGCAUAUGUCUGUUAAUCCCUUAAUGUUUGCGGGCAGAGAAGCCCCCCAGUCGUCAACAGGCUUCUCACCAUUUGAACUAUUAUAUGGGAGACAGCCACGGGGGAUAUUGGACCUGGUACGGGAAAAGUGGGAGGAAGGAGAAGACGCAUCACGGAACACCCUACAGCAAAUAGUAGAGAUGAGAAACAAUUUGAAAGUAGCGUGGGAGGUGGCGCAGGACAAUCUGGUAAAGGUACAGGGGAAACAGAAGGAGCGCUACGAUAAAAGGGUCAAACCUAGAGAAUUUGAGGCUGGACAAAAGGUAUUAGUAUUAUUGCCCACAGAAACAUCUAAAUUUUUAGCUAAGUGGCAUGGGCCAUAUGACAUAACCCGGAGGGUAAAUGAGGUGGAUUAUGAGGUAGAGACCCCUGACCGGAAAAAGAAAAGACAAAUCUUCCACGUGAAUCUACUAAAAGCCUGGGUAGACCGUGAAUGCUUCUUCGAUGGGGAGGCCGAUGACGAUUUAGGGCCAGAAAUAGGGGAAAUGAGGGAGGAAGACGACAUCACGGUAGGCGACGUUCUGAACCCCCUGCAAAAGGGACAAGCUCUCGCCCUGAAAGCGGAAUUCCCACAGGUAUUCUCCAAGAUACCGGGACAAAGCUCACUGGUGGAACACUCAAUUGAAACAGCCCCAGGAAUGGUGGUGAGGGAGAAUGGGAGAACGUGGCCACACCAAGUGACGGCGCUUAUGGAAAAGGAGGUCGAGGACAUGUUGAAUAUUGGGGUUAUAGAACCGGCCAAAGGCCCCUGGCGAAGUUUCCCGGUAAUAGUGCCCAAACCUGAUGGGUCUUUGAGGUUUUGUGUAGAUUUCAGAAAGGUGAACGCGAAGGUGAAUGCAGUUUCAAAGUUCGACGCAUACCCUAUGCCGAAGGUAGGAGAUUUAUUGGAUAAACUGGGAAACGCCAGAUACCUAAGCUCAAUUGAUUUAACAAAAGGAUACUGGCAGAUCCCAGUGAGGGCCCAGGAUAGAGAAAAGACGGCCUUCUGCACCCCAAAGGGGCUUUUUCAAUUUGUUAAAAUGCCGUUUGGGCUCCAUGGGGCCGCGGCGACUUUCCAAAGGCUCAUGGAUAAGUUGUUGGAGUCCCAGAGGGACUGGGCGGCAGCGUACAUCGAUGAUAUCAUUGUUUUCAGCUCGAGUUGGGAAGAACAUCUCUUACACUUGAGAAAGGUGCUCCGUGAGUUGCAAGGAGCCGGGCUGACCGUUAACCCCAAGAAGUGCCAGAUUGGGUUAGACAAAGUGGAAUAUC
Long non-coding RNA from Pogona vitticeps (central bearded dragon), 1763 nucleotides. NCBI's taxonomy places the organism in Eukaryota, Metazoa, Chordata, Lepidosauria, Squamata, Agamidae. The record is from Ensembl.